RNAcentral lists this transfer RNA (64 nucleotides) under Cryptotympana atrata. Its description in RNAcentral is "tRNA-Gly". The record is from RNAcentral. Lineage: Eukaryota; Metazoa; Arthropoda; Insecta; Hemiptera; Cicadidae.
AUUUUAUUAGUAUAUAAGUAUAAUUGACUUCCAAUUAAGAGGACUAAUAAAUUUAGAUAAAAUA